CAGCCGCCGCAUUAAUACGUAGGGUGCAAGCGUUAAUCGGAAUUACUGGGCGUAAAGCGUGCGCAGGCGGUUAUAUAAGACAGAUGUGAAAUCCCCGGGCUCAACCUGGGAACUGCAUUUGUGACUGUAUAGCUAGAGUACGGCAGAGGGGGAUGGAAUUCCGCGUGUAGCAGUGAAAUGCGUAGAUAUGCGGAGGAACACCGAUGGCGAAGGCAAUCCCCUGGGCCUGUACUGACGCUCAUGCACGAAAGCGUGGGGAGCAAACAGGAUUAGAUACCCCUGUAGUCCCUGUCUCUUAUAA
RNAcentral lists this ribosomal RNA (301 nucleotides) under uncultured bacterium. RNAcentral's name for it is "partial 16S ribosomal RNA". It matches the Rfam family "Bacterial small subunit ribosomal RNA", at positions 509 to 809 of the family's 1533-position model. The record is from RNAcentral.